CUGCUUCUUGAUUCCAUUGUGAAAGCUUAGAGAGAGGUUAUCACAUCCCUUUGGUUUUGCAUUUCUUCUAGUGUUGAAGUUUUUCUGUGUUUCUAUCCGGAACAUCAGUUUUACUCUGUGGUUUUGCAUACAAGCUUCCGGAGUAACUCUUCCCUUCCCAAGGAUGAGGAGUUUUGGUCAACUUGGUUAGGUGUUUGUUAUGAUGAUUUGAACAUAUAGAGAUAAUAUUCUUCUAGUGUUAUUUUCGUUGUUAUUUUGUAUUUAUGAUGUGUACUCCUAAAAUGAUAUCGUCAUUGUUACAGUGGCUGGCUCGAGGACUUAUCUGGUAUGGCAUAUGGCAAGAUAAAACCGGUAAUUUGGCCUGUGGCAGGCAAGUAGAGGUUAAAACAGUAAUUUUUGCAUAUCUGUUUGUCUUUUGAUGGUGUGUCUGCUAGUGUUGUAUUUCUUAUUUUCUUUUUGUAUCUACCACUUGUGCCACACUAUGUUGGUCUCUUGUUCUGUUAAUUUACCACUUCCUUUGUUAUGAUUCUUUAGGCUAUUCUUGUCCACUGUGAUAUAUGAAUCUUCUCUCUCUCAAAUCGGUCUGUCACAACGAGGAAGCCUAAAAAAUUGUCAUUUCACAUGGAGCUCUGCAAUUAACUGUGGCAUAUAUUCGCAUUGUUGUAUUUUGAAGCAUUUGGUGAUUUUUAUUUUGACUAUGAAUUCUUCAUGUUUCUGUCUCUUGAAUUUAGUUUUUUUAACAUACUUUCCAUUCAAUUCAGCUUUGGGAUCUUUCAUGUUUUUACGUAGUAUUUUCUGCAUCUUGCUAGUCUUGGUGAUUUUGUGUUCUGCAAGAGGAACGUGAGAAAUGAAGCAUACAAGAUUCUAAAGUAUAUCUUUUCACACUCCCCUUGAAUGAGGAAUCUGGACUUAAUUUUAAUUAAGCUGCUUUGGCGCGUUUUACUUGAUCGGUCUGGUAUAGGUGGGAAGCUUAAAUUUGGUAUCAUUUAUCAUGGAGGACCAGAAUUUCCAUUUGGUUGUGACAUAUGUUCUCAUUGUUGUUAUGCUUUCAUUUGGCGAUCUCUACUUGGCUAUAAAUAUUGCAUG
RNAcentral lists this long non-coding RNA (1086 nucleotides) under Trifolium pratense (red clover). RNAcentral's name for it is "long non-coding RNA (TPRA_LNC005384)". The record is from RNAcentral. Lineage: Eukaryota; Viridiplantae; Streptophyta; Magnoliopsida; Fabales; Fabaceae.